UUCAUGGAGAGUUUGAUCCUGGCUCAGGACGAACGCUGGCGGCGUGCCUAAUACAUGCAAGUCGAGCGGACCGACGGGAGCUUGCUCCCUU
RNAcentral lists this ribosomal RNA (91 nucleotides) under Bacillus licheniformis. RNAcentral describes it as "partial 16S ribosomal RNA". It matches the Rfam family "Bacterial small subunit ribosomal RNA", at positions 1 to 89 of the family's 1533-position model. The record is from RNAcentral. Lineage: Bacteria; Bacillati; Bacillota; Bacilli; Caryophanales; Bacillaceae. RNAcentral also lists the same sequence under 1 other name.